GUGUUUUACACGGUGACUACACCGACGACGUUUUGACUGUGCAAUGGUUCUCGGAGGCCGCAUGACCAAAUCUCUGGCGGCUACGACAGCCACUUCUCGGCGUCUCACAGUCAUAGAGGUCGUGGAUAAAGCCCAAAGUCAAGGACUCUAUUUGCUUCAGAUAUCAUACGAGCUGGAGACUGCAUUUUGAACGUUCCUUGCCAUGUGGAACUGUCGCCGGAUUGGUCUUGAUCCAGAUAUUAAUACUUUUUUAAAUGGUGAAGUUAGCUGUGAUGCAAAGCUCGCCAUUGUAAUUCUAGUCAAGAAAAUAUCGGGAUGGGAUUCUGAUUGGGCCACUCACAUCAGUUGUUUUCCUUAGCUUGAGGAUAUGCAUAACACAGUAUGUGUUCUCUCUUUUAGAAUAUUGAUUUUUACCCUGUGUUUUAACAAAUUUCUUUCUUGUAUUUUUGGAUUAUUCUUCACUGAAGGAAAAGAUAUUCUCUUGUCACACAGUUAGAAAAAAGAAAGUUCCAAGUGGCAAGUCAUGAUUUCUAAUUUUUUUUUUUUUUAAGAGUGCCAAGACCGAAACACAAACUAACAGAAUGUAAACAGGGUAUUAUGAUGUUGUAUUAACAAAAAGGCAGAAAUAUGAAAUUGGCAGUGGUUUUUCAAUUGUAAAAGUUGCUUCUGCUCCUAAAAGGUUCACUUUUAACCGAGUGAAAAUGCUGUUUUCAU
This is a long non-coding RNA of Ziziphus jujuba (common jujube), 714 nucleotides long. RefSeq lists it as uncharacterized. Lineage: Eukaryota; Viridiplantae; Streptophyta; Magnoliopsida; Rosales; Rhamnaceae. The transcript has 4 exons. The record is from RefSeq and is a predicted model, not a curated record.